UUUGGUAUUUAAAAGGUGGAUAUUCCUUCUAUGUUUAUGUUAUUUGUGGUUAAACAUAGAGGAAAUUCCACGUUUUCAGUAUCAAA
MicroRNA precursor from Ailuropoda melanoleuca (giant panda), 86 nucleotides. The record is from Ensembl. NCBI's taxonomy places the organism in Eukaryota, Metazoa, Chordata, Mammalia, Carnivora, Ursidae.